CCUACGGGAGGCAGCAGUGGGGAAUAUUGGACAAUGGGGGCAACCCUGACCCAGCCAUGCCGCGUGUGUGAAGAAGGCCCUCGGGUUGUAAAGCACUUUCAGUGAGGAAGAACGCCUGGUGGUUAAUACCCAUCAGGAAAGACAUCACUCACAGAAGAAGCACCGGCUAACUCCGUGCCAGCAGCCGCGGUAAUACGGAGGGUGCGAGCGUUAAUCGGAAUUACUGGGCGUAAAGCGCGCGUAGGUGGCUUGAUAAGCCGGUUGUGAAAGCCCCGGGCUCAACCUGGGAACGGCAUCCGGAACUGUCAAGCUAGAGUGCAGGAGAGGAAGGUAGAAUUCCCGGUGUAGCGGUGAAAUGCGUAGAGAUCGGGAGGAAUACCAGUGGCGAAGGCGGCCUUCUGGACUGACACUGACACUGAGGUGCGAAAGCGUGGGUAGCAAACAGGAUUAGAUACCCCUGUAGUC
RNAcentral lists this ribosomal RNA (465 nucleotides) under Vreelandella stevensii. Its description in RNAcentral is "partial 16S ribosomal RNA". It matches the Rfam family "Bacterial small subunit ribosomal RNA", at positions 338 to 795 of the family's 1533-position model. Lineage: Bacteria; Pseudomonadati; Pseudomonadota; Gammaproteobacteria; Oceanospirillales; Halomonadaceae. The record is from RNAcentral.